This 441-nucleotide ribosomal RNA is filed under the name uncultured bacterium. RNAcentral's name for it is "partial 16S ribosomal RNA". It matches the Rfam family "Bacterial small subunit ribosomal RNA", at positions 338 to 795 of the family's 1533-position model. The record is from RNAcentral.
CCUACGGGAGGCAGCAGUCGGGAAUAUUGCUCAAUGGAGGAAACUCUGACGCAGUGACGCCGCGUGCAGGAAGAAGGUUUUCGGAUUGGAAACUGCUUUAGACAGGGAAGAAAAAAGACAGUACCUGUAGAAUAAGCUCCUACUAACUACGUGCCAGCAGCCGCGGUAAUACGUAGGGAACAAGCGUUAUCCGGAUUUAUUGGGUGUAAAGGGUGCGUAGACGGAGAAGCAAGUUAGUUGUGAAAUCCCUCGGCUUAACUGAGGAACUGCAACUAAAACUACUUCCCUUGAGUACUGGAGAGGAAAGUGGAAUUCCUGGUGUAGCGGUGAAAUGCGUAGAUAUUAGGAGGAACACCAGUGGCGAAGGCGGCUUUCUGGACAGUAACUGACGCUGAUGCACGAAAGCGUGGGUAUCAAACAGGAUUAGAUACCCUUGUAGUC